This 465-nucleotide ribosomal RNA is filed under the name uncultured bacterium. RNAcentral's name for it is "bacterial SSU rRNA". It matches the Rfam family "Bacterial small subunit ribosomal RNA", at positions 339 to 796 of the family's 1533-position model. The record is from RNAcentral.
CUACGGGAGGCAGCAGUAGGGAAUAUUGGACAAUGGACGAAAGUCUGAUCCAGCAAUGCCGCGUGAGUGACGAAGGAUUUCGGUCUGUAAAGCUCUUUUCUGAGGGAAGAAAUGACAUGUGAGGAAAUGCUCAUGUCUUGACGGUACCUCAGGAAUAAGGGACGGCUAACUCCGUGCCAGCAGCCGCGGUAAUACGGAGGUCCCAAGCGUUGUUCGGAAUUACUGGGCGUAAAGGGAGCGCAGGCGGACAGUUAAGUCUAAAGUGGAAUCCAGGGGCUCAACCUCUGAACUGCUUCGGAUACUGGCUGUCUUGAGUUCGUGAGAGGAAAGCGGAAUUCAGGGUGUAGCGGUGAAAUGCUUAGAUAUCCUGAGGAACACCAAUGGCGAAGGCAGCUUUCUGGCGCGAUACUGACGCUGAGGCUCGAAAGCGUGGGGAGCGAACGGGAUUAGAAACCCUAGUAGUCC